RNAcentral lists this long non-coding RNA (342 nucleotides) under Capsicum annuum. RNAcentral describes it as "long non-coding RNA (CANN_LNC002907)". Lineage: Eukaryota; Viridiplantae; Streptophyta; Magnoliopsida; Solanales; Solanaceae. The record is from RNAcentral.
CUCUAUGGACUUUGUAAGUUUCGUGAUUUGUUGUUGAAGAGGUUUUAUUUUAUUUUAUUUAUUUAUUAUUAUUAUUAUUAUUAUUUAUUUCCUAUUCGGUGUUUGGUGUUCAUAUUGAAGCCCCGACUAAUUCAGAUACGCGUUGCAGGGUUCAUUAAGGUGGCAGCGCUCCCAAAAAAGUUUUCUCCAUGCCCAGGGUCGAACCCUCGACCUCUGGUUAAGGGUGAAGUAGCCCCAAAGAGGUUUUAUUUUACACCUCCAGAUUCAUGCCUUGUUUCAUAUUACUCCCUCCAUUUAAAAAAGAAUGACCUAAACAUGUCAUGUGAAAAGUUGAAAUUAAAG